Molecule: ribosomal RNA, 439 nt
Filed under: uncultured bacterium
Lineage: Bacteria
Description: partial 16S ribosomal RNA
Rfam family: Bacterial small subunit ribosomal RNA
Source: RNAcentral
CUACGGGCGGCUGCAGUGGGGAAUCUUAGACAAUGGGGGAAACCCUGAUCUAGCCAUGCCGCGUGAGCGACGACGGCCCUAGGGUCGUAAAGCUCUUGCAGCAGGGAAGAUAAUGACGGUACCUGCAGAAGAAGUCCCGGCUAACUCCGUGCCAGCAGCCGCGGUAAUACGGAGGGGACUAGCGUUGUUCGGAAUUACUGGGCGUAAAGCGCGCGUAGGCGGAUUGUCAAGUCGGGGGUGAAAUCCAGGGGCUCAACCCCGGAACUGCCCUCGAUACUGGCAGUCUUGAGUUCGAGAGAGGUGAGUGGAAUUCCGAGUGUAGAGGUGAAAUUCGUAGAUAUUCGGAGGAACACCAGUGGCGAAGGCGGCUCACUGGCUCGAUACUGACGCUGAGGUGCGAAAGCGUGGGGAGCAAACAGGAUUAGAUACCCGGGUAGUC